Molecule: ribosomal RNA, 207 nt
Filed under: uncultured bacterium
Lineage: Bacteria
Description: partial 16S ribosomal RNA
Rfam family: Bacterial small subunit ribosomal RNA
Source: RNAcentral
AGCGUAGGCGGGAAAUUAAGUUAAGUGUGAAAGCCUUGGGCUUAACCCAAGAAAUGCACUUAAUACUGGUUUUCUAGAGUGUAGGAGAGGUAAGUGGAAUUCCUAGUGUAGCGGUAAAAUGCGUAGAGAUUAGGAGGAACAUCAGAGGCGAAGGCGGCUUACUGGACUAUAGCUGACGCUGAGGCUCGAAAGCGUGGGGAGCAAACA